GUGGGGAAUUUUGCGCAAUGGGGGAAACCCUGACGCAGCAACGCCGCGUGAGUGAUGAAGGCCUUCGGGUCGUAAAGCUCUGUCAGAGGGGAAGAAGUGUGGAGUGGCUAAUAUCCAUUUCACUUGACGGUACCUUCAAAGGAAGCACCGGCUAACUCCGUGCCAGCAGCCGCGGUAAUACGGAGGGUGCGAGCGUUGUUCGGAAUUAUUGGGCGUAAAGCGCGUGUAGGCGGUUUUUUAAGUCUGAUGUGAAAGCCCUGGGCUCAACCCGGGAAGUGCAUUGGAAACUGGGAGACUUGAAUACGGGAGAGGGCAGUGGAAUUCCUGGUGUAGGAGUGAAAUCCGUAGAUAUCAGGAGGAACACCGGUGGCGAAGGCGGCUGCCUGGACCGAUAUUGACGCUGAGACGCGAAAGCGUGGGGAGCAAACAGGAUUAGAAACCCCGGUAGUCC
This 451-nucleotide ribosomal RNA is filed under the name uncultured bacterium. RNAcentral describes it as "partial 16S ribosomal RNA". It matches the Rfam family "Bacterial small subunit ribosomal RNA", at positions 354 to 796 of the family's 1533-position model. The record is from RNAcentral.